Non-coding RNA from Acanthosepion pharaonis, 111 nucleotides. The record is from the annotation of a GenBank genome assembly. Lineage: Eukaryota; Metazoa; Mollusca; Cephalopoda; Sepiida; Sepiidae.
AACCAUUUCACAUUGAAACACCGGUUAUUGUAUAAUCACCGAAGUUAAGCAACGUCGAGCCUGGUCAGUACCUAGAUGGGUAAAGCGCUCGGGAAUACCAGGUGCUGUAAU